This 2815-nucleotide long non-coding RNA is filed under the name Prunus persica (peach). RNAcentral describes it as "long non-coding RNA (PPER_LNC007391)". Lineage: Eukaryota; Viridiplantae; Streptophyta; Magnoliopsida; Rosales; Rosaceae. The record is from RNAcentral.
CUUUCUUUCGUUCUUUCCUUGAAUCCAUUUUCUGAAAUCCAUUUCUCCAGUUCCUCUGAUUGCUUCCAUCCCCUUACAACCCAAAUGAACGGUUUAUUUGAUGCCUCUAACCCCAACCCAAGCUCUAUCAGUUGUUCCGAGAUGAGGUUACACAUACUUCCAAGGCAAGCAUAAACUACAGAACCUGGUGCCCAUGAGUCAAGCCACUUCAAGCAGUGAUGUUCAUCAAUUGAGGCCUUGUUACCCCUUUGUGCCUUGUCCAAGUCAUCUUUGUUGCAUAGUGAAGCAGGGCCAAUGCACCAGACUUUAUUCUUUCUUGCAUUCCUGUAUUCUUUAACAUAUUCUGGCUCCAAUUCCUCAAAAGUAUUCAUGAUCAUCCCAUAUGACUCCAUCUCAGCUGCUGCCACUUUCUCAGUAAAACCUUCCACUCUUGUUGUCAGUCUCCCAGAAACCUGAGCUUUCGUUAUCUCAAUUCGAUCAGGCAAGUCAGGUACAACAAGGUACUCUGAUUCGGAUGUUACAUUCUCAAGAACUUUGGAUACUCGCAAAUUGUGAAUGAACAAGAGACAGAAGCAGCAUGUUCCACUGAACGAUAUCCUUGGAAUGUGAAACUUGCUGGCAAUGCUGGCUGUCCAUGGAAGACACAUGUCUGAGAUUAUGCAGUUCGGCUUCGGGAUAAGCUCUUCAAACAGUUUCUCUACCGGCUGUUGAAGCAGGGCAGUUGCUGCAAAAAAAUUCAAGAUCAGGUCUUGUGAAGGUAGCAUGUCAGGGUUCUCGCAACCACCAGGCAAUCCUGCUUCUUCACUUGGAAAUUUCAGUUGGAUUAACCGGAUUUGGAGCCCGGAUUCUAUGGCUCGAGUAACGACUGCUUCAACACGUGCUGCAUUAUGUGGGGUGGUGACUAGGGUGACAAGGAUCCCUUGUUGUGCCAACAGUCUGCCAAUGUCUGUCAUUGGGAUCAAGUGGCCUGAGGCCGGAAAGGGCAACAAGAGAAAGUGAAGCUGGCUUUGUUGAUGAGAAGCCAUGGAAACUAAAUGGAAUUGAUAAACAACUAUAAAUGUUCUAUGAAUUAAGCAGAGGCUUAAGUCACUUGCUUAAUGAGUAGUGAUUUAUAUAUAGCAAACUGCUUUGCUGGUGACGUAAGAGCAUACGUAUAUAUGUGCAUUGAUUUAUCCAAGAAUAUUGUAGUGGUUGAGAGAGUAGAACAAAAUUCUGUUCUAUGGACAGUAUAAUGUUACAAAACUCUCAUUGUCUUCCCAUGUCAUUCUCUGUUUUCUAUAGCACUUUUGAAGCAUCUCCCAUUGCUAAAUAUGAGUGUGGGGUUUUAUACAAAAGGCCUUGAUGUUAUUAGGAAUGGAACCAUUUAUUAUAUGAGACUUUCUAUUUUGUUAAGUUUCCGAUGUGAGACUUGUGUAUUCUUCAAAACUCCUCCUCACGUGAGACCACUUUUUAGUGGACCACACGUGCAACCAAUUCCACAUCGAUCACUUUUUUUUUCUUUUUUUUCUUUUAUUUUUAAUUUGGGGUUUUUGUUUGAUUUGAGUUUGUUUGAUUUGGGUUUAAUCGGGUCCAGUCAACCGACCCACUCUGAUACCAUAUUAAGAUUUCAGAGGGACAGACCCUUGGCCCACCACUAGCAACAUCAAUAUUGCUCCCAACUUAACCACCUGUUUAGCAGGUGUGAGGUUUUAUACAAAAGGUCUCGAUGUUAUUAGGAGUGGAACCAUUUAUUUUAUGAGACUUUCUAUUUUGUUAAGUUUCCGAUGUGGGACUCGUGUAUUCUUCAACACCAAAUUGUGAAUCGAACUGACCAAGCGGGACCGUAAGCCAAACCAAUAAGAUUAGUUUAGGCCGGUUCAGUUUAUCAAGAUUCGCGAUUUCGGGUGGUCAUUUCGAUUUCUAUUUCACACCAAUUUUCUUAUUUUUUGUUUAAUUAUUGCUUUUACAAAAUUAAUAGGCUGAAACACACCUAUAUUUGGUUCUUCCAAAUCAACCUAAGUACUGUAAUGAGACAAAUAGUGAAAUAAAAAACUGCAUUAUAAUCAUUUCAAAAAUCUAUGCAGUAAGCAGUAUGCUUGAGAAAAGAUCCUUCACAUCCUUUUUAGUUUGUGUUUAUGCAAUUUAGUUCUUUGAUCUCUUGGAUUAGCUGUUUAAUGUUCAGGUAAGAAGAUCCACCUUCUGCUACUGCUCUCUUUGCCAUAUCUGCUAACUCUCUGGCUCUCUCUCUCCUUCCUUGGCUUUCUUUUCCAUCCAUCAAUUUCUCUAUGGCCUCCUUCACUUUCUUCUUUCUCAACACCCUCCUAAUCUUCUCCUCCUCUCCCCAAGUCACUGGAAAUUCCACACCAACUCUCACUGCAAUCUUUAGAAUCUGUUCAACAAAUUUCUCAUUCAUAAAUUGGUCCCCAAAAAGUGGCCAUGUGAGCAAAGGCACCCCAGCACAAAUCCCUUCCAAUGUGGAAUUCCAGCCACAAUGUGUCAAGAACCCACCAACUGCAGGGUGCGAUAAUAUGAGCGUCUGGGGAGCCCAACCCCGAAUCAAGAGGCUCCUUGCUUUGUUCGUUUCCUCAAAUCCACUUUCUGCAAUCCACUUAUCCAAUUCCUGUGAUUCUUUGCAGCCCCUUACAACCCAAAUGAACGGUUUAUUUGAUGCCUCUAACCCCAAUCCAAUCUCUACCAAAUGUUUAGAGCUGAGGUUACACAUACUUCCAAGGCAAGCAUAAAGUACAGAAGCUGGUGCCCAUGAAUCAAGCCACUUGAAGCAGUGAAGUUCAUCAAUGGAGAUUUUGUUGCCCCUUUGUGCCUUGUCCAAGUCGUC